GACGAACGCUGGCGGCGUGCCUAAUACAUGCAAGUUGAGCGCUUAAGGUUGGUACUUGUACCGACUGGAUGAGCAGCGCACGGGUGAGUAACGCGUGGGGAAUCUGCCUUUGAGCGGGGGACAACAUUUGGAAACGAAUGCUAAUACCGCAUAAAAACUUUAAACACAAGUUUUAAGUUUGAAAGAUGCAAUUGCAUCACUCAAAGAUGAUCCCGCGUUGUAUUAGCUAGUUGGUGAGGUAAAGGCUCACCAAGGCGAUGAUACAUAGCCGACCUGAGAGGGUGAUUGGCCACAUUGGGACUGAGACACGGCCCAAACUCCUACGGGAGGCAGCAGUAGGGAAUCUUCGGCAAGAGACGAAAGUCUGAACGAGCAACGCCGCGGGAGUGAAGAAGGUUGUCGGAUCGUAAAAAUCUGUUGGUAGAGAAGAACGUUGGUGAGAGUGGAAAGCUCAUCAAGUGACGGUAACUACCCAGAAAGGGACGGCUAACUACGUG
RNAcentral lists this ribosomal RNA (497 nucleotides) under uncultured bacterium. Its description in RNAcentral is "partial 16S ribosomal RNA". It matches the Rfam family "Bacterial small subunit ribosomal RNA", at positions 28 to 507 of the family's 1533-position model. The record is from RNAcentral.